Molecule: ribosomal RNA, 484 nt
Filed under: uncultured bacterium
Lineage: Bacteria
Description: partial 16S ribosomal RNA
Rfam family: Bacterial small subunit ribosomal RNA
Source: RNAcentral
AUUGAACGCUGGCGGCAUGCCUUACACAUGCAAGUCGAACGGCAGCGCGGGAGCAAUCCUGGAGGCGAGUGGCGAACGGGUGAGUAAUACAUCGGAACGUGCCCAAUCGUGGGGGAUAACGCAGCGAAAGCUGUGCUAAUACCGCAUACGAUCUACGGAUGAAAGCAGGGGAUCGCAAGACCUUGCGCGACUGGAGCGGCCGAUGGCAGAUUAGGUAGUUGGUGAGGUAAAGGCUCACCAAGCCUUCGAUCUGUAGCUGGUCUGAGAGGACGACCAGCCACACUGGGACUGAGACACGGCCCAGACUCCUACGGGAGGCAGCAGUGGGGAAUUUUGGACAAUGGGCGAAAGCCUGAUCCAGCCAUGCCGCGUGCAGGAUGAAGGCCUUCGGGUUGUAAACUGCUUUUGUACGGAACGAAACGGUCUUUUCUAAUAAAGAAGGCUAAUGACGGUACCGUAAGAAUAAGCACCGGCUAACUACGUG